RNAcentral lists this long non-coding RNA (237 nucleotides) under Elaeis guineensis (African oil palm). Its description in RNAcentral is "long non-coding RNA (EGUI_LNC001807)". The record is from RNAcentral. Lineage: Eukaryota; Viridiplantae; Streptophyta; Magnoliopsida; Arecales; Arecaceae.
GUCAACAAUCUCUUCCUUUUUGAUGAUGACAAAAUCAUUUGAGUAUAAUAUUUUCUUCAAAUUUCAAAUUGAUUUAUUUUCAAUUAUUGCAUAUAUGCAUUCAGAUUUUAUCAAUUUCACUUUCUAUAAUUGCAUACACAACAUAUACAAUUAAAUUUUAUCAAUUUACACAUGCUCUCCCAGAGUAUGAGAAUUAUGCUCAAUUCAAUUUCAAUUUUAUCAAAAUUUAUGAUACUC